Molecule: unclassified non-coding RNA, 343 nt
Filed under: soil metagenome
Description: partial contains 5.8S ribosomal RNA, internal transcribed spacer 2, and large subunit ribosomal RNA
Rfam family: 5.8S ribosomal RNA (bases 1-120)
Source: RNAcentral
GAUGAAGAACGUAGCGAAAUGCGAUAAGUAAUGUGAAUUGCAGAAUUCAGUGAAUCAUCGAAUCUUUGAACGCACAUUGCGCCCCUUGGUAUUCCGAGGGGCAUGCCUGUUCGAGCGUCAUUACACCACUCAAGCACUGCUUGGUAUUGGGCAUCGUCCGUCGAAAGGCGGGCGUGCCUCGAAGACCUCGGCGGGGUUUCUCCAACUUCGGGCGUAGUAGAGUUAAAUCGAACGUCUUAUAAGCUUGGUGGGACUCCAUUGCCGUUAAACCUUUUAUUUUCUAGGUUGACCUCGGAUCAGGUAGGGAUACCCGCUGAACUUAAGCAUAUCAAUAAGCGGAGGA